AACGAACGCUGGCGGCGUGGAUAAGACAUGCAAGUCGAACGAGAGUUUGUUUAUAGCAAUAUGAGCGAACUUUAGUGGCGAAAGGGUGCGUAACACGUGGCUAUCUACCUCGAAGUGGGGGAUAUCUCCGAGAAAUCGGAGUUAAUACCGCAUGUGACCGCAAGGUCAAAGCUGGGGAUCGUAAGACCUGGCGCUUUGAGAUGAGGCUGCGGCCUAUCAGGAGUUGGCGGGGUAAUGGCCCACCAAGCCUAAGACGGGUAGCUGGUCUGAGAGGACGACCAGCCACACUGGAACUGAGACACGGUCCAGACACCUACGGGUGGCAGCAGUCGAGGAUUUUUCUCAAGUGGGGGAAACCCUGAAGGAGCGACGCCGCGUGAGGGAUGAAGGUCUUCGGAUUGUAAACCUCUGUCAUCUGGGAACAAUGUCCCGACAAAUAAGAUUUGUCGGGAUUGAUAGUACC
This 463-nucleotide ribosomal RNA is filed under the name uncultured bacterium. RNAcentral describes it as "bacterial SSU rRNA". It matches the Rfam family "Bacterial small subunit ribosomal RNA", at positions 29 to 479 of the family's 1533-position model. The record is from RNAcentral.